RNAcentral lists this ribosomal RNA (964 nucleotides) under Microcharidius sp. 11 CA-2017. RNAcentral's name for it is "SSU rRNA". It matches the Rfam family "Eukaryotic small subunit ribosomal RNA", at positions 439 to 1291 of the family's 1831-position model. Lineage: Eukaryota; Metazoa; Arthropoda; Insecta; Coleoptera; Carabidae. The record is from RNAcentral.
AAUUACCCACUCCCGGCACGGGGAGGUAGUGACGAAAAAUAACGAUACGGGACUCAUCCGAGGCCCCGUAAUCGGAAUGAGAACACUUUAAAUCCUUUAACGAUUAGCAAUUCGAGGGCAAGUCUGGUGCCAGCAGCCGCGGUAAUUCCAGCUCGAAUAGCGUAUAUUAAAGUUGUUGCGGUUAAAAAGCUCGUAGUUGAAUUUGUGUUCCGCGCUGUCGGUUCACCGCCCGCGGUGUUUAACUGGCACGUCCGCGGAACGUCCUGCCGGUGGAUGCGUGGACCCUGUACGCUUACCCAUUGUGCGUGUGCAACUCCGGUUGUUACUGUAUGAUGUGGCUGGGCUGCAGGCGCUUCACCAUCCGACUCAAUAAUCCUGUCGCGGUGCUCUUAAUUGAGUGUCGAGGCGGGCCGGCACGUUUACUUUGAACAAAUUAGAGUGCUUAAAGCAGGCUAAAAUUUCGCCUGAAUACUGUGUGCAUGGAAUAAUGGAACAGGACCUCGGUUCUAUUUUGUUGGUUUUCGGAAACCCGAGGUAAUGAUUAAUAGGGACAGAUGGGGGCAUUCGUAUUGCGACGUUAGAGGUGAAAUUCUUGGAUCGUCGCAAGACGGACAGAAGCGAAAGCAUUUGCCAAAAAUGUUUUCAUUAAUCAAGAACGAAAGUCAGAGGUUCGAAGGCGAUCAGAUACCGCCCUAGUUCUGACCAUAAACGAUGCCAGCUAGCGAUCCGCCGACGUUCCUCCGAUGACUCGGCGGGCAGCUUCCGGGAAACCAAAGCUUUUGGGUUCCGGGGGGAGUAUGGUUGCAAAGCUGAAACUUAAAGGAAUUGACGGAAGGGCACCACAAGGAGUGGAGCCUGCGGCUUAAUUUGACUCAACACGGGAAAUCUCACCGGGCCCAGACACCGGAAGGAUUGACAGAUUGAUAGCUCUUUCUUGAUUCGGUGGGUGGUGGUGCAUGGCCGU